This 460-nucleotide ribosomal RNA is filed under the name uncultured bacterium. RNAcentral's name for it is "partial 16S ribosomal RNA". It matches the Rfam family "Bacterial small subunit ribosomal RNA", at positions 343 to 795 of the family's 1533-position model. The record is from RNAcentral.
CCGUGGCUGCAGUAGGGAAUCUUCCACAAUGGACGAAAGUCUGAUGGAGCAACGCCGCGUGAGUGAAGAAGGGUUUCGGCUCGUAAAGCUCUGUUGGUAGUGAAGAAAGAUAGAGGUAGUCACUGGCCUUUCUUUGCCGGUAAUUACUUAGAAAGUCCCGGCUAACUACGUGCCAGCAGCCGCGGUAAUACGUAGGUGGCAAGCGUUGUCCGGAUUUAUUGGGCGUAAGGCGAGUGCAGGCGGUUCAAUAAGUCUGAUGUGAAAGCCUUCGGCUCAACCGGAGAAUUGCAUCAGAAACUGUUGAACUUGAGUGCAGAAGAGGAGAGUGGAACUCCAUGUGUAGCGGUGGAAUGCGUAGAUAUAUGGAAGAACACCAGUGGCGAAGGCGGCUCGCUGGGCUGCAACUGACGCUGAGGCUCGAAAGCAUGGGUAGCGAACAGGAUUAGAUACCCUGGUAGUC